UCGGGAUAUAGCGCAGUUUGGUAGCGCGCCUGCUUUGGGAGCAGGAUGUCGCAGGUUCAAGUCCUGCUAUCCCGAU
RNAcentral lists this transfer RNA (76 nucleotides) under Gracilariopsis lemaneiformis. RNAcentral's name for it is "tRNA-Pro". It matches the Rfam family "tRNA". Rfam says of the family: Transfer RNA (tRNA) molecules are approximately 80 nucleotides in length. The record is from RNAcentral. RNAcentral also lists the same sequence under 5 other names. Lineage: Eukaryota; Rhodophyta; Florideophyceae; Gracilariales; Gracilariaceae.